This 106-nucleotide small nuclear RNA is filed under the name Canis lupus familiaris (dog). RNAcentral also lists the same sequence under 1 other name. The record is from RNAcentral. Lineage: Eukaryota; Metazoa; Chordata; Mammalia; Carnivora; Canidae.
GUGCUUGCUUUGGCAGCACAUAUACUAAAAUUGGAACAAACAGAGAAGAUUAGCAUGGCCCCUGCACAAGGAUGACGUGUAAAUUCAUGAAGCGUUCUGUAUUUUU